UGACUUUUUACUAAGUCAAACUUCUUUAGAUUUGACCAAUUUAAAAAUAUAGCAAUAUUUUCAACACAAAUAUGUUCAGUGUUAGAUGUAAUAAAACUAUUUUAAUACUAUAAGUGUUGUUAUAUUUUUCUAUAAACUUGGUCAAACUUUCAAGAAGUUUGACUUAAAAUAAGUCAA
Molecule: microRNA precursor, 177 nt
Filed under: Oryza glumipatula
Lineage: Eukaryota; Viridiplantae; Streptophyta; Magnoliopsida; Poales; Poaceae
Description: MIR1435 microRNA precursor family
Rfam family: MIR1435 microRNA precursor family
Source: Rfam by way of RNAcentral